This 253-nucleotide ribosomal RNA is filed under the name uncultured bacterium. Its description in RNAcentral is "partial 16S ribosomal RNA". It matches the Rfam family "Bacterial small subunit ribosomal RNA", at positions 524 to 776 of the family's 1533-position model. The record is from RNAcentral.
UGCGGAGGAUCCAAGCGUUAUCCGGAUUUAUUGGGUUUAGAGGGUGCGUAGGCGGAUUGAUAAGUUAGAGGUGAAAUGUCCGAGCUCAACUCGGGAACUGCCUCUAAUGCUGUUGAUCUAGAGAGUAGAUGCGGUAGGCGGAAUGUAUGGUGUAGCGGUGAAAUGCUUAGAGAUCAUACAGAACACCGAUUGCGAAGGCAGCUUACCAAUCUAUAUCUGACGUUGAGGCACGAAGGCGUGGGGAGCAAACAGG